RNAcentral lists this ribosomal RNA (223 nucleotides) under Escherichia coli. RNAcentral describes it as "partial 23S ribosomal RNA". It matches the Rfam family "Bacterial large subunit ribosomal RNA", at positions 154 to 415 of the family's 2925-position model. The record is from RNAcentral. Lineage: Bacteria; Pseudomonadati; Pseudomonadota; Gammaproteobacteria; Enterobacterales; Enterobacteriaceae.
UUAACUGAAUCCAUAGGUUAAUGAGGCGAACCGGGGGAACUGAAACAUCUAAGUACCCCGAGGAAAAGAAAUCAACCGAGAUUCCCCCAGUAGCGGCGAGCGAACGGGGAGGAGCCCAGAGCCUGAAUCAGUGUGUGUGUUAGUGGAAGCGUCUGGAAAGGCGCGCGAUACAGGGUGACAGCCCCGUACACAAAAAUGCACAUGCUGUGAGCUCGAUGAGUAG